This 773-nucleotide ribosomal RNA is filed under the name uncultured bacterium. RNAcentral's name for it is "bacterial SSU rRNA". It matches the Rfam family "Bacterial small subunit ribosomal RNA", at positions 8 to 798 of the family's 1533-position model. The record is from RNAcentral.
AGAGUUUGAUCCUGGCUCAGGACGAACGCUGGCGGCGUGCUUAACACAUGCAAGUCGAACGGAAAGGCCCUUCGGGGUACUCGAGUGGCGAACGGGUGAGUAACACGUGGGUGAUCUGCCCUGCACUUUGGGAUAAGCCUGGGAAACUGGGUCUAAUACCGAAUAGGACCGCGCUCUUCAUGGGGUGUGGUGGAAAGCUUUUGCGGUGUGGGAUGGGCCCGCGGCCUAUCAGCUUGUUGGUGGGGUAAUGGCCUACCAAGGCGACGACGGGUAGCCGGCCUGAGAGGGUGACCGGCCACACUGGGACUGAGAUACGGCCCAGACUCCUACGGGAGGCAGCAGUGGGGAAUAUUGCACAAUGGGCGCAAGCCUGAUGCAGCGACGCCGCGUGAGGGAUGACGGCCUUCGGGUUGUAAACCUCUUUCAAUAGGGACGAAGCGCAAGUGACGGUACCUAUAGAAGAAGGACCGGCCAACUACGUGCCAGCAGCCGCGGUAAUACGUAGGGUCCGAGCGUUGUCCGGAAUUACUGGGCGUAAAGAGCUCGUAGGUGGUUUGUCGCGUUGUUCGUGAAAACUCACAGCUUAACUGUGGGCGUGCGGGCGAUACGGGCAGACUAGAGUACUGCAGGGGAGACUGGAAUUCCUGGUGUAGCGGUGGAAUGAGCAGAUAUCAGGAGGAACACCGGUGGCGAAGGCGGGUCUCUGGGCAGUAACUGACGCUGAGGAGCGAAAGCGUGGGGAGCGAACAGGAUUAGAUACCCUGGUAGUCCAA